GUUGACCUCGGAUCAGGUAGGAAUACCCGCUGAACUUAAGCAUAUCAAUAAGCGGAGGAAAA
RNAcentral lists this ribosomal RNA (62 nucleotides) under Fusarium fujikuroi. RNAcentral describes it as "partial 28S ribosomal RNA". It matches the Rfam family "Eukaryotic large subunit ribosomal RNA", at positions 1 to 60 of the family's 3401-position model. RNAcentral also lists the same sequence under 5 other names. Lineage: Eukaryota; Fungi; Ascomycota; Sordariomycetes; Hypocreales; Nectriaceae. The record is from RNAcentral.